CAUGGCGAUUGGCGAACGGCCUGAGUAAUGCAUCGGAACGUGCCCAGUCGUGGGGGAUAACGCAGCGAAGCUGUGCUAAUACCGCAUACGAUCUAUGGAUGAAAGCGGGGGACCUUCGGGCCUCGCGCGAUUGGAGCGGCCGAUGUUAGAUUAGGUAGUUGGUGGGGUAAAGGCUCACCAAGCCAACGAUCUAUGCUGGUCUGAGAGGACGACCAGCCACACUGGAACUGAGACACGGUCCAGACUCCUACGGGAGGCAGCAGUGGGGAAUUUUGGACAAUGGGCGAAAGCCUGAUCCAGCAAUACCGCGUGCAGGAAGAAGGCCCUCGGGUUGUAAACUGCUUUUGUACGGAACGAAACGGCGCGCUCUAAUAAAGUGCGCUAAUGACGGUACCGUAAGAAUAAGCACCGGCUAACUACGUGCCAGCAGCCGCGGUAAUACGUAGGGUGCGAGCGUUAAUCGGAAUUACUGGGCGUAAAGCGUGCGCAGGCGGUUUUGUAAGACAGGCGUGAAAUCCCCGGGCUCAACCUGGGAAUUGCGCUUGUGACUGCAAGGCUAGAGUACGGUAGAGGGGGGUAGAAUUCCGCGUGUAGCAGUGAAAUGCGUA
This 608-nucleotide ribosomal RNA is filed under the name Betaproteobacteria bacterium. RNAcentral's name for it is "bacterial SSU rRNA". It matches the Rfam family "Bacterial small subunit ribosomal RNA", at positions 87 to 692 of the family's 1533-position model. Lineage: Bacteria; Pseudomonadati; Pseudomonadota; Betaproteobacteria. The record is from RNAcentral.